AUUGAACGCUGGCGGCAUGCCUUACACAUGCAAGUCGAACGGUAACGCGGGGCAACCUGGCGACGAGUGGCGAACGGGUGAGUAAUGCAUCGGAACGUACCCAGUAGUGGGGGAUAGCCCGGCGAAAGCCGGAUUAAUACCGCAUACGACCUACGGGUGAAAGGGGGGGAUCGCAAGACCUCUCGCUAUUGGAGCGGCCGAUGUCAGAUUAGGUAGUUGGUGGGGUAAAAGCCUACCAAGCCUGUGAUCUGUAGCUGGUCUGAGAGGACGACCAGCCACACUGGGACUGAGACACGGCCCAGACUCCUACGGGAGGCAGCAGUGGGGAAUUUUGGACAAUGGGCGCAAGCCUGAUCCAGCAAUGCCGCGUGCGGGAAGAAGGCCUCGGUUGUAA
RNAcentral lists this ribosomal RNA (394 nucleotides) under uncultured bacterium. RNAcentral describes it as "bacterial SSU rRNA". It matches the Rfam family "Bacterial small subunit ribosomal RNA", at positions 29 to 428 of the family's 1533-position model. The record is from RNAcentral.